AUACGUAGGGUGCAAGCGUUAAUCGGAAUUACUGGGCGUAACGCGUGCGCAGGCGGUUUUGUAAGACAGAGGUGAAAUCCCCGGGCUUCACCUGGGAAUUGCCUUUGUGACUGCAAGGCUAGAGUACGGCAGAGGGGGGUGGCAUUCCGCGUGUAGCAGUGAAAUGCGUAGAUAUGCGGAGGAACACCGAUGGCGAAGGUAAUCCCCUGGGCCUGUACUGACGCUCAUGCCCGAAAGCGUGGGGAGCAAACAGGAUUAGAUACCCUGGUAGUCCACGCCCUAAACGAUGUCAACUGGUUGUUGGGUCUUCAUUGACUCAGUAACGAAGCUAACGCGUGAAGUUGACCGCCUGGGGAGUACGGCCGCAAGGUUGAAACUCAAAUGAAUUGACGGGG
Molecule: ribosomal RNA, 395 nt
Filed under: uncultured bacterium
Lineage: Bacteria
Description: partial 16S ribosomal RNA
Rfam family: Bacterial small subunit ribosomal RNA
Source: RNAcentral